UAGGAAAGAAGUAAAGCCAUACUUGAAGGUC
RNAcentral lists this non-coding RNA (31 nucleotides) under Mus musculus (house mouse). Lineage: Eukaryota; Metazoa; Chordata; Mammalia; Rodentia; Muridae. The record is from RNAcentral.